CAAUAGCGUAUAUUAAAGUUGUUGCAGUUAAAAAGCUCGUAGUUGGAUUUCUGAAGGUGGUUGGAUUGGUGUGACCUCGCGUUGCCUCAACCAUACUAUUUUCAACAUAUGCGAUGAAUUGGUGUGGUUAAUUAAGUUUGAUCCGCCAUUAAAUCGCUCGUUUACUUUGAGAAAAUUAGAGUGUUCAAAGCAGGCAUAACGCCUUGAAUAUGUUAGCAUGGAAUAAUAGCAUAGGACUUUGGUUCUAUUUGUUGGUUGUUCGAGAACUGGAGUAAUGAUUGAUAGGGACGGUUGGGGGCAUCCGUAUUCUCAAGCGAGAGGUGAAAUUCUUGGACCUUGGGAAGACGAACAGCUGCGAAAGCGUUUGCCUAGGACGUUCUCUUUA
RNAcentral lists this ribosomal RNA (385 nucleotides) under uncultured eukaryote. RNAcentral describes it as "partial 18S ribosomal RNA". It matches the Rfam family "Eukaryotic small subunit ribosomal RNA", at positions 592 to 975 of the family's 1831-position model. The record is from RNAcentral.